AUUGAACGCUGGCGGCAGGCCUAACACAUGCAAGUCGAACGGUAACAGGAAGCAGCUUGCUGCUUCGCUGACGAGUGGCGGACGGGUGAGUAAUGUCUGGGAAGCUGCCUGAUGGAGGGGGAUAACUACUGGAAACGGUAGCUAAUACCGCAUAAUGUCGCAAGACCAAAGAGGGGGACCUUCGGGCCUCUUGCCAUCGGAUGUGCCCAGAUGGGAUUAGCUUGUUGGUGGGGUAACGGCUCACCAAGGCGACGAUCCCUAGCUGGUCUGAGAGGAUGACCAGCCACACUGGAACUGAGACACGGUCCAGACUCCUACGGGAGGCAGCAGUGGGGAAUAUUGCACAAUGGGCGCAAGCCUGAUGCAGCCAUGCCGCGUGUAUGAAGAAGGCCUUCGGGUUGUAAAGUACUUUCAGCGGGGAGGAAGGGAGUAAAGUUAAGACCUUUGCUCAUUGACGUUACCCGCAGAAGAAGCACCGGCGAACUCCGU
RNAcentral lists this ribosomal RNA (489 nucleotides) under uncultured bacterium. RNAcentral describes it as "partial 16S ribosomal RNA". It matches the Rfam family "Bacterial small subunit ribosomal RNA", at positions 30 to 506 of the family's 1533-position model. The record is from RNAcentral.